Molecule: ribosomal RNA, 253 nt
Filed under: uncultured bacterium
Lineage: Bacteria
Description: partial 16S ribosomal RNA
Rfam family: Bacterial small subunit ribosomal RNA
Source: RNAcentral
UACGUAGGUGGCAAGCGUUGUCCGGAUUUACUGGGCGUAAAGAGCGCGCAGGCGGUCGAGUAAGUCGAAUGUGAAAGCCCCCGGCUUAACUGGGGAACUGCACAGGAAACUAGCGGGCUUGAGCUCGGGAGAGGGAAGCGGAAUUCCGGGUGUAGCGGUGAAAUGCGUAGAUAUCCGGAGGAACAUCAGUGGCGAAAGCGGCUUCCUGGACCAGAACUGACGAUCAGGCACGAAAGCGUGGGGAGCAAACAGG